This 402-nucleotide ribosomal RNA is filed under the name uncultured bacterium. RNAcentral describes it as "partial 16S ribosomal RNA". It matches the Rfam family "Bacterial small subunit ribosomal RNA", at positions 30 to 525 of the family's 1533-position model. The record is from RNAcentral.
AUUGAACGCUGGCGGCAUGCCUAACACAUGCAAGUCGAGCGAGCGGCGGACGGGUGAGUAAUGUAUGGGGACUGCCCGAUAGAGGGGGAUAACUACUGGAAACGGUGGCUAAUACCGCAUACUGUCGGCUACCCCAUUUGGUAUUAGCUAGUAGGUAAGGUACUGGCUUACCUAGGCGACGAUCCCUGGCGGGUCUGAGAGGAUGAUCAGCCACACUGGGACUGAGAAACGGCCCAGACUCCUACGGGGGCAGCAGUGGGGAAUAUUGCACAAUGGGGGCAAGCCUGAAGCAGACAUGCCGGGUGGAUGAAGAAGGGCCUAGGGGUGUAAAGUACUUUCAUUCGGGAGGCGUUACCGACAGAAGAAGCACCGGCUAACUCCGUGCCAGCAGCCGCGGUAAAC